This 382-nucleotide unclassified non-coding RNA is filed under the name plant metagenome. Its description in RNAcentral is "partial contains small subunit ribosomal RNA and internal transcribed spacer 1". The stretch from base 16 to 221 matches the Rfam family "Group I catalytic intron". From Rfam's summary of the family: Group I catalytic introns are large self-splicing ribozymes. They catalyse their own excision from mRNA, tRNA and rRNA precursors in a wide range of organisms. The core secondary structure consists of 9 paired regions (P1-P9). The record is from RNAcentral.
AAGUCGUAACAAGGUUUCCGUAGGUCAAGUCUUGCCUACCACAGCAGCCCCGGCUGCUAGUCUCCUAGUGAGGCGACACGCUCAAUUUGCGGAGAGGUCCUCCUUCUGAGGAAAAUCCGCAGCCCACCUCCCCUACCCGGAGGUCGGUUCAGAGGCUCAACGAGUGUGGGUUCAGCGCAGCUGAGCUUAAGAUAGAGUCCGUCUUGGCUGGCAACAGCGAAGAUUCAACGGAACCUGCGGAAGGAUCAUUAAAGAAUACAUGGCCUUCGGGUCCUAUUCUCACCCUUUGUUUACCAAAACUCUUGUUGCCUUGGCGCAUUCGUGCGCCAAAGGAAUCAAACCCUUGAAUCUCUGCUGUCUGAGUACUAUAUAAUAGUUAAAA